This 347-nucleotide ribosomal RNA is filed under the name uncultured bacterium. RNAcentral describes it as "partial 16S ribosomal RNA". It matches the Rfam family "Bacterial small subunit ribosomal RNA", at positions 338 to 682 of the family's 1533-position model. The record is from RNAcentral.
CCUACGGGAGGCAGCAGUGAGGAAUAUUGGUCAAUGGACGGAAGUCUGAACCAGCCAUGCCGCGUGCAGGAAGACGGCUCUAUGAGUUGUAAACUGCUUUUGUACAAGGGUAAACCUGAAUACGUGUAUGCAGCUGAAAGUACUGUACGAAUAAGGAUCGGCUAACUCCGUGCCAGCAGCCGCGGUAAUACGGAGGAUCCAAGCGUUAUACGGAGUUAUUGGGUUUAAAGGGUGCGUAGGCGGCUUGAUAAGUUAGAUGUGAAAUGUCCGGGCUUAACUCGGGAACUGCCUCUAAUACUGUUGAUCUAGAGUGUAGGUGCGGUAGGCGGAAUGUCUGGUGUAGCGGU